This 911-nucleotide small RNA is filed under the name uncultured zygomycete. RNAcentral's name for it is "eukaryotic LSU rRNA". The stretch from base 627 to 911 matches the Rfam family "Eukaryotic large subunit ribosomal RNA", at positions 1 to 281 of the family's 3401-position model. The record is from RNAcentral. Lineage: Eukaryota; Fungi.
CUUGGUCAUUUAGAGGAAGUAAAAGUCGUAACAAGGUUUCCGUAGGUGAACCUGCGGAAGGAUCAUUCAUAAUAAGUGUUUUAUGGCACUUUUUAAAUCCAUAUCCACCUUGUGUGCAAUGUCAGUCGAUCUUCUUCAUGGAGAUCGACCAAACAUCAACCUUUAUUUUUUAACUCUUUGUCUGAAAAAUAUUAUGAAUAAACAAUUCAAAAUACAACUUUCAACAACGGAUCUCUUGGCUCUCGCAUCGAUGAAGAACGCAGCGAAAUGCGAUACGUAAUGUGAAUUGCAGAAUUCAGUGAAUCAUCGAAUCUUUGAACGCAUAUUGCGCUCCUUGGUAUUCCGAAGAGCAUGCUUGUUUGAGUAUCAGUAAACACCUCAAAGCUUUUGGAUUUUUUAAUCGAAAAGCUUUGGACUUGAGCAAUCCCAACACCAAUCUUUUUGAGAUCGGUGGCGGGUUGCUUGAAAUGCAGGUGCAGCUGGACAUUCUCCUGAGCUAAAAGCAUAUUCAUUUAGUCCCGUCAAACGGAUUAUUACUUUUGCUGCAGCUAACAUAAAGGGAGUUUGACCGUAUUGGCUGACUGAUGCAGGAUUUCACAAGGGUCGGCAACGAUUCUUGUUAAACUCGAUCUCAAAUCAAGUAAGACUACCCGCUGAACUUAAGCAUAUCAAUAAGCGGAGGAAAAGAAACUAACAAGGAUUCCCCUAGUAACGGCGAGUGAAGCGGGAUGAGCUCAAAUUUAAAAUCUGGCUGGUUUACUAGUCCGAAUUGUAGUUUAUAGAAGCGUUUUCGGUGGCAGCCUGGGUAUAAAUCCUUUGGAAUAGGGUAUCAUAGAGGGUGAGAAUCCCGUCUUUGACUCAGUGCAUGCUACUAUGUGAUACGUUUUCAAAGAGUCGAGUUGUUUGGGAAU